CCGCUCGAUUAGCUGGUUGGCGGGGUAACGGCCCACCAAGGCGACGAUCAGUAGCCGACCUGAGAGGGUGGCCGGCCACAUUGGGACUGAGACACGGCCCAAACUCCUACGGAAGGCAGCAG
RNAcentral lists this ribosomal RNA (122 nucleotides) under uncultured bacterium. RNAcentral describes it as "partial 16S ribosomal RNA". It matches the Rfam family "Bacterial small subunit ribosomal RNA", at positions 233 to 354 of the family's 1533-position model. The record is from RNAcentral.